ACUUGAGGAAUUUAACCAAAGAUUCUAGAGCGGAGCAAGAUAGAUCAGUUACGUCAUAGGCAUGAAGUACGCUCUGAGCCUGACAGGGCGCCAUUUUCAUAAGCUCAGCGCAAAAUUUCAUAUACAGUUCCAAUUCUAUGAGCCCACCUGAACAGCUGUUUUUAACGUUGCCAGCUGUUUUUUUUUUCUUUCUCGGUAAUGAACUGCAAGAACUGACAGUGUGAAAGGCCCGAUUGAUCUUUUUCCAAGUUUACACUGAAAAAGGAGAGGUAAAUAAGCCUAUUAUUUAGACAGAAGUAGCUAUUGCACUGGUAAAUAGAUCACAUAAAUUCCAAUUGAGAGACUGUAUAGCCUACUGAUAAGCUAGCAGGCAAACUAACUUAGCUAACGUUAUAUUAUCACCAUUUUUCUUUUUUCUACCUGUAGGCUAUAAGUUAACCCUUUGUUCACGGCCUGCUUAAACACAGCGCAUAAGAUAGUC
Molecule: long non-coding RNA, 481 nt
Organism: Alosa sapidissima (American shad)
Lineage: Eukaryota; Metazoa; Chordata; Actinopteri; Clupeiformes; Clupeidae
Exons: 3
Source: RefSeq, a predicted model, not a curated record